UGCAUUUUAGCUUAGUGGUUAGCGUGUUUGCCUCACACCUCCAGGGUUGGGGGUUCAAUUCCCAUCACUGCUC
Molecule: non-coding RNA, 73 nt
Organism: Ameiurus melas (black bullhead)
Lineage: Eukaryota; Metazoa; Chordata; Actinopteri; Siluriformes; Ictaluridae
Source: the annotation of a GenBank genome assembly